GCAAACUGGGAAAACUUUCAAAACCCACUGGUGUGCUCUAUUCAGGAGACCCAUCUCACGUGCACAGACACACACAGGCUCAAAAUAAAGGAACAGAGGAAGAUUUACCAAGCAAAUGGAAA
This is a long non-coding RNA of Sapajus apella (tufted capuchin), 122 nucleotides long. RefSeq lists it as uncharacterized. NCBI's taxonomy places the organism in Eukaryota, Metazoa, Chordata, Mammalia, Primates, Cebidae. The transcript has 3 exons. The record is from RefSeq and is a predicted model, not a curated record.